UAACGUCCCAGUUCGGAUUGUAGUCUGCAACCCGGCUACAUGAAGCUGGAAUCGCUAGUAAUCGCGGAUCAGAAUGCCGCGGUGAAUACGUUCCCGGGUCUUGUACACACCGCCCGUCACACCAUGGGAGCCGGAAAUGCCCGAAGUCAGUGACCCAACCGCAAGGAGGGAGCUGCCGAAGGUGGAGCUGGUAACUGGGGUGAAGUCGUAACAAGGUAUC
RNAcentral lists this ribosomal RNA (220 nucleotides) under uncultured bacterium. Its description in RNAcentral is "partial 16S ribosomal RNA". It matches the Rfam family "Bacterial small subunit ribosomal RNA", at positions 1281 to 1500 of the family's 1533-position model. The record is from RNAcentral.